Molecule: ribosomal RNA, 569 nt
Filed under: Saccharomyces uvarum
Lineage: Eukaryota; Fungi; Ascomycota; Saccharomycetes; Saccharomycetales; Saccharomycetaceae
Description: partial large subunit ribosomal RNA
Rfam family: Eukaryotic large subunit ribosomal RNA
Source: RNAcentral
CGGGGAUGCCUUAGUAACGGCGAGUGAAGCGGCAAAAGCUCAAAUUUGAAAUCUGGUACCUUUGGUGCCCGAGUUGUAAUUUGGAGAGGGCAACUUUGGGACCGUUCCUUGUCUAUGUUCCUUGGAACAGGACGUCAUAGAGGGUGAGAAUCCCGUGUGGCGAGGAGUGCGGUUCUAUGUAAAGUGCCUUCGAAGAGUCGAGUUGUUUGGGAAUGCAGCUCUAAGUGGGUGGUAAAUUCCAUCUAAAGCUAAAUAUUGGCGAGAGACCGAUAGCGAACAAGUACAGUGAUGGAAAGAUGAAAAGAACUUUGAAAAGAGAGUGAAAAAGUACGUGAAAUUGUUGAAAGGGAAGGGCAUUUGAUCAGACAUGGUGUUUUGCGCCCUCUGCUCCUUGUGGGUGGGGGAAUCUCGCAGUUCACUGGGCCAGCAUCAGUUUUGGUGGCAGGAUAAAUCCGUAGGAAUGUAACUUGCUUCGGGAAGUAUUAUAGCCUAUGGGAAUACUGCCAGCUGGGACUGAGGACUGCGACGUAAGUCAAGGAUGCUGGCAUAAUGGUUAUAUGCCGCCCGUC